GACGGAGGGGGCAAGCGUUGUCCGGACUCACUGGGCGUAAAGGGUCCGUAGGCGGUGUGAUGCGUCGGUGCUGAAAGCGCACGGCUUAACCGAGCGAGGCGUGCCGAUACGAUCAUACUGGAGGCAGGCAGAGGGUGGCGGAAUUCCGGGUGUAGUGGUGAAAUGCGUAGAGAUCCGGAGGAACGCCUGUGGCGCAAGCGGCCACCUGGGCCUGACCUGACGCUGAGGGACGAAAGCGUGGGGAGCGAAC
This 250-nucleotide ribosomal RNA is filed under the name uncultured bacterium. RNAcentral's name for it is "partial 16S ribosomal RNA". It matches the Rfam family "Bacterial small subunit ribosomal RNA", at positions 524 to 773 of the family's 1533-position model. The record is from RNAcentral.